Small nuclear RNA from Ochotona princeps (American pika), 102 nucleotides. Lineage: Eukaryota; Metazoa; Chordata; Mammalia; Lagomorpha; Ochotonidae. The record is from RefSeq and is a predicted model, not a curated record.
GCUCGCUUCAGCACUGCAUAUACUAAAAUUGGAAUGACACAGAGAUUAGCAUGACCCCUGUGCAAGGAUGACAUGUAAACUUGUGAAGCGUUCUAUAUUUUA